AUACGUAGGUGGCAAGCGUUGUCCGGAUUUACUGGGUGUAAAGGGCGCGUAGGCGGGAUCGCAAGUCAGAUGUGAAAUGUCGGGGCUUAACCCUGGAACUGCAUUUGAAACUGUGAUUCUUGAGUAUCGGAGAGGCAGGCGGAAUUCCUAGUGUAGCGGUGAAAUGCGUAGAUAUUAGGAGGAACACCAGUGGCGAAGGCGGCCUGCUGGACGACAACUGACGCUGAGGCGCGAAAGCGUGGGGAGC
Molecule: ribosomal RNA, 247 nt
Filed under: uncultured bacterium
Lineage: Bacteria
Description: partial 16S ribosomal RNA
Rfam family: Bacterial small subunit ribosomal RNA
Source: RNAcentral